Molecule: transfer RNA, 71 nt
Filed under: Chloroflexota bacterium
Lineage: Bacteria; Bacillati; Chloroflexota
Description: Chloroflexi bacterium (groundwater metagenome) tRNA-Gln
Rfam family: tRNA
About the family: Transfer RNA (tRNA) molecules are approximately 80 nucleotides in length. Their secondary structure includes four short double-helical elements and three loops (D, anti-codon, and T loops).
Source: RNAcentral
UGCCGAAUGGGGUAACGGUAGCCCGCCUGUCUCUGAAACAGGUAGUCAUGGUUCAAAUCCAUGUUCGGCAG